CCGCCGUACCGGAAUUCUGAAAUUGGCCGAGUAGGCCCUGGUCUGAUUUUUGGGUUACUUGGGACAUGUGUAGGUACCGCAAGUGUGUUUCAGUUCCCGUAAAAAAAUUCAGGGAACCAAGGGACCGUCCAUAGGCGUAGUAAAAAUCUAGUUUUCGGCGUUAGAUCAGGUAAGGACCCCUCACCCUAUUUCCUAUAAUGGAAUUGAAGUUUUAAUAAAUGAUAAUACUGUAUUUUAAAUAGAUAUGCAUAAUUAAUUACGGUUGCUAAUGGAGCCCGAACCAGACAUUAUUCUCUGUCGAUUCCUGUUUGAUUUAUUUUACAGUUUAAAUGCAUUAUGGUA
This 342-nucleotide long non-coding RNA is filed under the name Carica papaya (papaya). RNAcentral describes it as "long non-coding RNA (CPAP_LNC013807)". Lineage: Eukaryota; Viridiplantae; Streptophyta; Magnoliopsida; Brassicales; Caricaceae. The record is from RNAcentral.